GAGGAGUGGGAGAGAUAGAUGAGAGGCAAAAGGUGAUGGGUUGAGGGUAGGAUCUUCGAAUAUUUGGAAACUUUAGGGUAAGUCCAUUGAGUUGGUGAAGAUUCUCAUGAAGAGGAGGAUUACUAUUGUGAGUGUUGAGGACACUAUGUGGAUAGGUUCAUAGGCUAGUGAUGUGGAUAGGAAUAAGUUUUGGUACUUAGGUAGUGACAGGGGGUGGGAAUCUUAGUGGAUGAAAAGCUUAGAGGGCAG
RNAcentral lists this long non-coding RNA (249 nucleotides) under Capsicum annuum. RNAcentral's name for it is "long non-coding RNA (CANN_LNC015354)". Lineage: Eukaryota; Viridiplantae; Streptophyta; Magnoliopsida; Solanales; Solanaceae. The record is from RNAcentral.